Molecule: non-coding RNA, 975 nt
Organism: Vicugna pacos (alpaca)
Lineage: Eukaryota; Metazoa; Chordata; Mammalia; Artiodactyla; Camelidae
Source: RefSeq, a predicted model, not a curated record
AGAUAAAGAUCUAUUCCUUAGUCACACCAAACAAGGCAGAUCUAUAGGUCAAUCCUAAAUAUUGGAUAAAGAUGACAAUUCAAGUCUAUGAGAUAAAGGAUGAAUUACUUUGUAGUGCUAUAGGUAUGACACACUAAUCAUUUCAAAAAGAAUUAAGUUAGACCCCUCUUCAAGCCAAAUAACAAAAAUAAAGCUUGAAAUGUAAAAAGUAAAACAUAAAAAUUCAAAGAAACUACUUUAUUUAUAAUUUUAUUUGACACUUAUAUUGUGCUUGCCAUGUUCUAUGCCCAGUUCUAAUUGCUUCAAUCCUCCUAACAACCGUAUGAGAUAAAUAUUAUUUUUACUCUUAUUUUAUGGACAAGGAACUUUUAGUACAGGAAGGGUAAGUAUCUGCCCAAAUGUCACACAGUAAGUGGCAGAACCAAAAUUAGAAUCCAUGAAGUCAAAUUCAAUGAGCGUGUCUCUAGAGUCCCUGCUCUUCUACAUUAUGCUGAGUAACUAAAAGUAAAUAUACAUAAAAUUAUGGUCUGCCCCAAGCAGGAUCCCAAAGGCAGUCACCAUAAGCUGACAGGUAUAAAUUGAUAAGUCUUAUUAUCUAGAAAUAUUAAAUAUCUUGCAUGUCAAAGACACCAUAAACAAAAAGCCAUAAACAAUAAGCUAGAAAAAAACUACCUGUAAAAUACACGUCAAAGGAUCGAUACCUUUUAUAUAAGAAGCGCUCUUACCAACAAAGAAAAAAAUUCACACUUAGAAAAAUGGGCAAAUGACAUAAAGAGUGGCCAAUAAAUAUAUGAAAAAGUGGUCAAUUCAUAAUUAAGGGAAUGCAAAUUAAAAUAACAAUGAAACAUACAGAAUGUUGGGACUGUUAUUUGUGCUCUCUGUGGGGUAGUUGGAUAAAAUUGGGCAGCUAAAAUUUUCACUCCUGUGUGCCUCCUAAAUUAAAAAAAAAAAAAAUUUUGUAAAUUGACUUGCAGA